UAGCAUAUCAAUAAGCGGAGGAAAAGAAACCAACAGGGAUUACCUCAGUAACGGCGAGUGAAGCGGUAACAGCUCAAAUUUGAAAUCUGGGUCUUUCAGGCUCCGAGUUGUAAUUUGUAGAAGAUGCUUUGGGUGCGGCCCCGGUCUAAGUUCCUUGGAACAGGACGUCAUAGAGGGUGAGAAUCCCGUAUGUGAUCGGUGGCUUGCGCCCGUGUAAAGCUCUUUCGACGAGUCGGGUUGUUUGGGAAUGCAGCUCUAAAUGGGUGGUAAAUUUCAUCUAAAGCUAAAUAUUGGCCAGAGACCGAUAGCGCACAAGUAGAGUGAUCGAAAGAUGAAAAGGACUUUGGAAAGAGAGUUAAACAGUACGUGAAAUUGUUGAAAGGGAAGCGCUUGCAACCAGACUUGCGCGGGGUUGAUCAUCCGGGGUUCUCCCCGGUGCACUCGGCCUCGCUCAGGCCAGCAUCGGUUUCGGUGGUUGGAUAAAGGCCUUGGGAAUGUGACUUCUUUCGGGGAGUGUUAUAGCCCUCGGUGCAAUGCAGCCUACCGGGACCGAGGACCGCGCUUCGGCUAGGAUGCUGGCGUAAUGGUUGUAAGCGACCCGUCUUGAAACACGGACCAAGGAGUCUAACAUCUAUGCGAGUGUUUGGGUGUCAAACCCAUACGCGUAAUGAAAGUGAACGGAGGUGAGAACCCUUAAGGGUGCAUCAUCGACCGAUCCUGAUGUCUUCGGAUGGAUUUGAGUAAGAGCAUAGCUGUUGGGACCCGAAAGAUGGUGAACUAUGCCUGAAUAGGGUGAAGCCAGAGGAAACUCUGGUGGAGGCUCGCAGCGGUUCUGACGUGCAAAUCGAUCGUCAAAUUUGGGCAUAGGGGCGAAAGACUAAUCGAACCAUCUAGUAGCUGGUUCUGCA
RNAcentral lists this ribosomal RNA (908 nucleotides) under Pezicula sporulosa. RNAcentral describes it as "LSU rRNA". It matches the Rfam family "Eukaryotic large subunit ribosomal RNA", at positions 36 to 961 of the family's 3401-position model. Lineage: Eukaryota; Fungi; Ascomycota; Leotiomycetes; Helotiales; Dermateaceae. The record is from RNAcentral.